AGCUCACACUGAAGAAGCAUCCUUGCUUGGGUUUGCAGUCUUCUGCGGCAGGCAUUCUCGGAGGAAACCAGCCAAGGUAAGCCUGCAGUGGCCCAUGAGGCUGCAGUUCUCCUGGCUGAAUUCUGAGGGUGAGUCCAGAGAACAUUCUUUCAACAGUCGUAUUUGUUAGUCAGACUCGUGCUGUUCUGGUCUUUUUGAAUAAGCUGGUCAGGUACAUUGCAGGUUUCCCGGUAUUUUCAAAGCCAGUUGGAUGUAGAAGUUAAAAUAAAUCUAGUUGGUCCUCUAAAGGAGAGAGAGAGAUCUGCUAGUAAUCUCUCUCUCUCUUUCUCUCUUUCUCUCCCUCUCUCUCUUCCUCUCUCUCCCUCUCUCCCUCCUCUCUCUCUCCCUCCUCUCUCUUCCUCUCUCUCUCCCUCCUCUCUCUCUCUCUCCCUCUCUCCCUCUCUCCCUCUCUCUCCUGUCACACACACAUUGUAAAGUUCUAUGUAUCUUUGGAACAAAUGUCUGCAUCAUUUUAAAGUGGCUGGAUGACUGUGGAGACCAGUAAAGGAGGAUCCUCUAUAUUAAUAUAAACCAGAUACAGUUAUUUUUAGAAAACUGUCUCACUUCAAAAGAGAACCUUCCUUAAUUUCUCGCUUCUGCACUUGGCUUUUACAGUUUUCACUAAGGUCCCUGUGUGAUAACACAGACUCAUCAACAUGCACAGAAAAGCUGUUGCCUGCUCUCAGUGUUUUAUUUUUAUUAUUAUUAUUAUUGUUGUUGUUAUUAUUAUUAUUAUUAGUCCAAAUAGAACAUCUUACUCAAAUUCAAAGAUAUCUUUGUUUCUUUCAGCUUUGUAUAAUGUAAGUUAAAAUCACAUUUGAAAUGCAAAUGGAAAAAGCAAUUUUCUUUUAUCAUUCUAUUUUCUCUUUUUCUUCCUUGCAGAAAGUACUCUCAUGGUAGUUCGUUGCUUUAAUUACUCGAUUACUGUGAAACAAAUCUUGGUGUGGAGCUCUAGAGACAUCAGAUAGUGGGGGCAUAAGCUCUGAGACUCCAGACGUAAAGUUUGGAUGAAUAGAGUUGUGAAAUUGCCCUUUUCCUUGCUAAGGAUGAGAGGUGGAGAGGUAGAAAAGGCACACAAAUAUUGACUCACUGAAAUUUUCUCUGAGAUGUAGAAAGAUUCCAUAAAUUAUUGGUGACUUGGUGGUGAUCUAGUGGUGCCAAGAGUGUGUUUGAACCUGACAAGACAUCAACUGUGCCUCAUAAAAUAUGUUGC
This 1252-nucleotide long non-coding RNA is filed under the name Mus musculus (house mouse). Its description in RNAcentral is "long non-coding RNA chr5:104435120-104436372". Lineage: Eukaryota; Metazoa; Chordata; Mammalia; Rodentia; Muridae. The record is from RNAcentral.